RNAcentral lists this ribosomal RNA (449 nucleotides) under Facetotecta sp. RNAcentral's name for it is "partial large subunit ribosomal RNA". The record is from RNAcentral. Lineage: Eukaryota; Metazoa; Arthropoda; Thecostraca.
AACUCACAGCGUGUAAAUUAUUAAAGUCGAACAGAGUAAUUAUCUUAAAACUCCUGCAUUUUAAAUAACAUUCAAUCCAACAUCGAGGUCUCAAACUAUUUUAUUGAUAAGAACUCUCAAAAAUAAUCUUGCUGUUAUCCCUAAAGCAACUUUAACUUUUAAUUUUUUCACAAAACCAAAUCAACUUCUAUUUUCAUAAAAUUAAAAAAAAAAAUGAGGUUCAAUAAUUUCAUCAACCGCCCCAGUUAAAAUAAUUAUAAACAUUUAAAUCUUUUUCCAUCUAUAAUUUUAACAAAGAUUUUAUAGGGUCUUCUCGUCCUCCUAAAAAAUUUUAACUUUUUCAUAAAAAAAUAAAAUUCAAUUCCAAUAAAAUUGAGACAAUUAGAACCUCAUUCAUUCGUUCCUUCGAUUUUACAAUUAAUAAACUAAUUAUUAUGUACCCUUUGCAA